AACGAACGCUGGCGGCAUGCUUAUCACAUGCAAGUCGAACGGGCGCCUUCGGGCGUUAGUGGCGCACGGGUGAGUAACGCGUGGGAACCUGUCAUGAAGUGGGGAACAACCACUGGAAACGGUGGCUAAUACCGCAUACGCCCUGAGGGGCAAAGGCUUCGGCCGCUUUGUGAGAGGCCCGCGUCCGAUUAGCUAGUUGGUGGGUAACGGCCUACCAAGGCUACGAUCGGUAGCUGGUCUGAGAGGAUGAUCAGCCACACUGGGACUGAGACACGGCCCAGACUCCUACGGGAGGCAGCAGUGGGAAUAUUGGACAAUGGGCGAAAGCCUGAUCCAGCAAUGCCGCGUGAGUGAAGAAGGCCUUAGGGUUGUAAAGCUCUUUCGCCUGCGACGAUGAUGACGGUAGCAGGAGAAGAAGCCCGGCUAAUCCGUGCCAGCAGCCGCGGUAAU
Molecule: ribosomal RNA, 450 nt
Filed under: uncultured bacterium
Lineage: Bacteria
Description: bacterial SSU rRNA
Rfam family: Bacterial small subunit ribosomal RNA
Source: RNAcentral